Molecule: ribosomal RNA, 481 nt
Filed under: uncultured bacterium
Lineage: Bacteria
Description: partial 16S ribosomal RNA
Rfam family: Bacterial small subunit ribosomal RNA
Source: RNAcentral
UUGAACGCUGGCGGCAUGCCUUACACAUGCAAGUCGAACGGUAACAGGUCUUCGGAUGCUGACGAGUGGCGACCGGGUGAGUAAUACAUCGGAACGUGCCCGAUCGUGGGGGAUAACGCAGCGAAAGCUGUGCUAAUACCGCAUACGAUCUACGGAUGAAAGCGGGGGAUCGCAAGACCUCGCGCGGACGGAGCGGCCGAUGGCAGAUUAGGUAGUUGGUGGGAUAAAAGCUUACCAAGCCGACGAUCUGUAGCUGGUCUGAGAGGACGACCAGCCACACUGGGACUGAGACACGGCCCAGACUCCUACGGGAGGCAGCAGUGGGGAAUUUUGGACAAUGGGCGCAAGCCUGAUCCAGCCAUGCCGCGUGCAGGAUGAAGGCCUUCGGGUUGUAAACUGCUUUUGUACGGAACGAAAAAGCUCUCUCUAAUACAGGGGGUGAAUGACGGUACCGUAAGAAUAAGCACCGGCUAACUACGUG